This is a long non-coding RNA of Perognathus longimembris pacificus (Pacific pocket mouse), 171 nucleotides long. RefSeq lists it as uncharacterized. NCBI's taxonomy places the organism in Eukaryota, Metazoa, Chordata, Mammalia, Rodentia, Heteromyidae. The record is from RefSeq and is a predicted model, not a curated record. The transcript is spliced from 2 exons.
AAGAGAAAAAUAUUUGCACAAUAUUUAUAUGACAAAAGCCUUUCACUCAAAAUAUACCCCAAAAAAAGCACUUCUAAAACUAACCACAGAAAAACAUCCCAAUUUUUCAAGAUGAGUAAUAAACAGAUUAAAACAAACACCCAGAUACUUCACCAGAGAAGGCAUGCAGAU